This 220-nucleotide ribosomal RNA is filed under the name uncultured bacterium. RNAcentral's name for it is "partial 16S ribosomal RNA". It matches the Rfam family "Bacterial small subunit ribosomal RNA", at positions 118 to 339 of the family's 1533-position model. The record is from RNAcentral.
UGAGCAAUCUGCCCUUCUCAUCGGAAUAACCAUUGGAAACGAUGGCUAAUGCCGAAUAUGACCUCGGAUCACAUGUUCUGAGGUGGAAAGCUCCGGCGGAGAAGGAUGAGCUCGCGGCCUAUCAGCUUGUUGGUGAGGUAAUGGCUCACCAAGGCAUUGACGGGUAGCCGGCUGAGAGGGUGACCGGCCACACGUGGGACUGAGACACCGGCACGUACCG